UCGCGGCGCUGUAGCGGCGGCGACGUCGUCGUCGUCGGAGCGGGCCCCGCUCGGAGCGCUUCGUCGAAAACCGGCUACGGCUCGCACGCCGGCGCGGGCGCGCGCGCAGGUAUCGCACCGCGCGCGCUACGGUCGAGCGGAACGGUACCGCGGCCAGACGCGAACGCUCGCCGGUCCGUCGACCGUCAUUCGUACGACUGCUUCUAACAACAACUAACGUUCUCGCCUCGAGUUCUCUCAUAUUCACCACCACUAUUAAAACACACUCAUAAUAUUUUCUUUUUCCGUUACAAUAAUAUUUUUUCGAAUACUAUAUUGUAUUUCGUCGCCGUUUACGAUUCUCAACUGUAUUAUCACACUAAUUAGCAGUAUCAUAUAAAUAUCAUUUUUGCGUUUAUUUUAUUUUUUUAUUUUUAUUGUUAUAAUAUUCUUUUCGUAACUUAAUUCAUCAUUAUUCUCGCGCCGAUAUCAUAGUUCCAUAUAAUUUUGUGUUUGGUUUUUUUUUUUUUUUGUUUUGUAAAAACCCUUUGCAAUUAUUAACUUUAAAAAAAAAAACGGUCGCAUUAUUUUCGACAACUGAAGCUCAUUGCCCGGCUACAAACAGUCUAUACAUUAUCGAUGACGGUACACCGACGAAAUUGUUAUUUUCAAUCAUAUCACAUGUACUCGUUGUACUACCAGGUACAGUGCAGACACAUGCACAGUCGAAAUGCAAAAUAUUAUAAUAUUUGGAACUAUUAUACGACUAACCUUCUUUCAGACCAAAAAUUACGUUCUUUUUUUCAUUGCCAAUGAACGUUUCAAAUACCACACUGUUGUCGAACAUUAUACCAAUUCCUCAAUACGGAUGCAGACAAGAGGCUGUUUGACAUUAGAACAUCGAUUCAAGCCCUGUGAAUAUUGUCGAUGAUUAUACGUAGUACACCGAAUUGAUGACGUGUAUCCGCAUAAUAAUAUUAUGUACAAAGCCUGCAACAUGUACUACGAAAUAAAUGGCAAACAAAAAUUCGUUACUCAGCAAGUGUUGAUGUACAGUCGAACGAGCCGUCAUCUUACCCGUGAUAUGGCAACAAAAAUUAUGAAAUCAAUAAUCAGAGAUUCCGUUUUAUACAAAAUAUCGCCGAUAUUACCUAAAUUUCGAGGUAAAAAUUCGUGACCCUUGAAUCACGGAAACGUCGAAAACCCACGGAGUGAACAUGGCUGACGAGGGUAUUAAACGCCUUCCGACUUAGGAGGUUACUAAGCAAAACGAUCAGGGAUCGCAGUAGUCAAAGCUAUUCCCGAGAAUUGUGGUUGAGUUUCGACGGCAUAAAAACGAUAUUGUUCUUUAGAACCCAAUGCGAAUUGUUGCAGUCAGUAUGCCGCAGACAUAGACAUGGAAAUCACUCUUUGCUCGCGGAAUUUGGAGGCUAAGCGAAUGCUUCUGGACCUCGAUAUAUAAUUGCAUUCCACUCGGCGCCGCAACAAAAUAAACGGUCUACAUUUUAUGAACGAAAUUCCACCGACGUCGUCUUCCAUGGUCUGCAGAACAACUCGAGUGAACCGAGUACAACAAUAAUAACAACAACAACAACAACGAUGACGACAAUAUAAAGCAGCACGGAGAACAGGAGACAACAAUUUCCAGAAUUGCAACUAUUGUUGUCAUAGAAUUCAAUGGAUGAUGGAUUCCCGUCAGAGAGGAGUGAACUUUUCAAAAACGAACAAACAGCCUGCUCUCCACCCCUUCUCCACGCGACCUGUCAUUCCGCCCACGCGACCGACUGGCGCGUGUGCCGCACCUGAGUCGCGACUACACAACCACUGCAGCGUAUAAUCCGGCGGGUUAGCCGCUCACAGCCGUACAACAUGAUAUAUAAUAUAGUAAGUAAUAAUAAAACUGCUAUAAUAAUAUUAUCGUAUAAUGUACAAAACGGUAUAAUUUAUUGGCCACUGUCGUUCCAGCUGCCAACGCGUCAAACGGCGUUGCACAAACACGUCGGUCCGUGGCUGUCGAAUGUAACACUGUAUAUUAUUAUUAUAUAGUGUGACAAGCGGCGGCGGAUUCUAUAAUAUUAUUACUAUUAUUAUUCGUCUUCGUUAUCUGACGCGGUCGAAUCCCCCGCACACAAACCCGUUACAUCUGUGACGAUGAUAUAUUAUAAUACUGCCGUGGGUUUAAACAAAUAUGAGAUCGAUAAAACGUAUGUUUAACCACGUGUAAUUCCAUAAUAAUAUGGUACCCGCUCGAUUGUUUGCGUGUCAUACCUAUUAUACGGCGUCAAAACGUACAAUAUUUUAUUAUUUAGGGCCUACUAUAUAGGUAGUUGGUUUGACGCAUUUCGAAUUAAUAAUAAUUAGUAUAAUAUUGACUUCCCUUCCAAGAACUUUGUAUAAAUAUAUAAUAUUUAAAUGACCUAGUAGAGUGUAAAAUAGAUUAUUUUCGUGUUAGGCAAUAAGUAAAUCACAAACAUUAUUGAUUGACAUAUUUUAUAUGGCAUUUUACAUUGUGCUACUUCUUUAAGUCUAUUUGUAUAUCGACACGUGAAUAAAAAAAUAAUAACUUAAGAAAAAUUGAAAAAGUUUUGAAUUUUCAGUCAGUUCAUUAUUUUUUUAUGUUUUUAAAAUAUAAAGUUCGAUUUAUGGUUAACUUUUUAUGUUAAUAAAGAGCAUUUUCGAGUGUUUUGAAAUUUUGCAUAUAAAAUCGCUAACGAGCUUAUUUUUUAGCGCUACAACCCUCAAACCUCGAUUUCAACAUAUUAUAUGCCUACGUGACAUUUAUUUUUGCUUGUGUUCCCAACUUAUUCUCUGAAACCGACAUUUCGAUUGUAGAGAGAUACUGCCUCUUUUUCUCGUUUUCAGUUUGAUCAGAGCAAACUGUUUCCCGUAACAACCCCUUCAAUCCAUCCGCCAUUUGCAUAUAAACUAUAUUGUACAGUAGGUACACUUUUAAAGUUAUAACUGCUGCAUUGCCGUUUUUUGUACAUUCAUCUUGAUUUAAAUUCUCUCUUAUUUCAAGCGAUAUCUCAGUCUUUUUUUUCAAAUUGGCUACUGCACUUUGCCCGAUAUUGAACCUUUUGUUGAUUUCCACUCACCUCCUGUCAUAAUGUUUCUAUUAAAAUGUCUUCAAAGACUCCACAGCCUGCGGCAGAAUUCUCUGUGCUUUUGAAACGUUUAAUAAUGAAUAUUCUCGACGCUCACUUCCAAUUGCACUGCAAUCAUAUAAUUUUUCCGAGCAACCAAAAACUUCAAUGAAUACUACAUAAAAAUAUAUCACUUGAUUCUUAUGACCAUAUAAUAUUAUUACUACUACAACCAUUAUAAUUAUUAUGAUACUAUAUUGUGCGUGUUGAUUAGGUACUGUCUUCAUAAUAUUACACUAACCACUUAUAAUAUAAUCCAAGAAACGUCGGCGGCAAACAUUGUGUUUUUUCAAUUCUACUCUAGAGAGUAUGCGUGAUAAACGACAGAUGGCCUAUAUAAUAUAUAUAUACAUAUGAAUGGUCGGAGUGGUAUAUACUGUAUAUUUAUAUACAUAUAAGUGCAUAUAUAUACUUCUGCAAGUCUGGUGUGUGCACGCGCGUGUGUGUAUACAUAUAUACGAGAUGAUAAGGAGUGGCGGGAUCAUAAGUCUGGAUAGAUUGGGGAGGGAUGGAAACCUUUUUCCGAUCCCUAAAACAAUACGACAACCAGACUACACUUAGCGUGAGUCUAUUCCCCUUUGUGCUGGAACCGACGCGAUAUCCCGCGGCCGCCGACUGCUGGCAGCUGCCGACCCGUGGAGAAAACAUAAAAAUCUCUGAUGCGAAUGUGUCGCGCGCGUGGCAUUCGUUUUGUGUAUAUAUUGCCAUGACUCCGGUAUCGGAUCUGAUGAGGAGGAAGUGGUUUAUAUUUUUAUUCCAAGAACCGUGUACAAUGCACAUCAACAAGUCGUAAAAAAUAUCUUCUAUAUGCGCAACGGUCGUAUAGUAUAUAACAUAACGUAAACUAUAUUAUUACACUAUACGUAUAUUAUUAUACAUAUAUCUUAUUCGGCCUACACGUGAGGUAUUGUUGGACCAUAAUAAUAUAUAUUGCUACUGCAUUCGACCGUGCUCCGUCGGGGCUCGUUUUCCGGAAAUCGUCGAGUACGCGCCGGCCGCGGUAUUUUUACUCGCCUCGUACCACGGUGGAUUUUAUCGACGUUUUACGUCCAUUUAUGCCCCAAACGACGGGGUACUGCGCCUCGUACUUUAUAUUAUAUGUUAUUAUUAUAUUCCCCGACGGAUACGUUAAAACGGAUACGGUUCCCGACGGUCGACGUGUUGUUAUAAUAUAAACGUGAACAAUAUAUAUAUAUAUAUAUAUAUAAACGAAUAUAAACUGAUUUAUAUCGCGAAAUAAAGUCAAAUCGCUCUCGCCACAUUUGCGGACGACGAAAAGCACUAUACGCUUUCAGAUAUUCCCGCUGCGCCAUAAAUACUCUCAAAUAAUAAAAAUAACAACAAAAUGAAAAUGCAAAGGUUCACCCACUCGCUCAUCGUUUUAUGUUGAAUUAUUUUGGUUUUACAAAACUUUCAUUCGAAAUUAUUUCUAUACGUGAAAUAGUGUUUCCCGUUUCCCGUAUCUCAUUUUAAGAUGUUAUAAUAAAUAAUUAUUAUUACUGUCCAUCGCUGUCACAAUAAUAUGUUAUAUACAAUAGGGGUAGAUAUAUGAUAUGGGUAUCUCUGUAGACUACAGUAGGACGCUUGAAUAUUACGGCGUGACUGGCGGUGUUGUUGAUGGCGAGCGUAUACGAUACGAAACCAUAUGUUAUUGAUAUUAACGACAACAAAAAAUUAACCCAAUUAUUGCAUUUUCUGUAGAAAUACAGGUACUACAAACUAUGUUGGUUUAUGCCUCUUUUACUGAAAAAUUAUUUCGGAAUUUCAUUUAUUUUCUCUCUCUCUCUCUCUCUCUUAACCGCUCUGUAAGAUUGUAUUUGAUAAAAUAAAUUAAGAAACCGUCCAAAAAUCCCUUCGCUGGCUCCCGCAGUCCCGCCAAGAAUAAAAUUGAUCGUUUUACCUCUCGACCGACAGCUUUCAUUAUAAUAAUAAUAUAGAACCCUAUUUUCUCUGUUUUCGAUUAACAACUCUGUUGUUCCGCAUAUAUAUAUAAGCAUCAGAAAAUAAGACCAAAAAAUGUAACACAUAAAUAAACCGACAGCAGAAAUUCUUCUCUUUCAUGCACUAUUCCUCUUAAACAUUUUUUACAUUAAAAUAUGAGAAAUAGACAUUUUUAGUUGGGAUCGGGUGAGUUUAUGUUCGUCCUUUAUGGCAAAAUGGCAACCCCUGUUUAGUGGCUGUAGUUUUAUUACAUUUUUAUUUCUAUAAAAACACAUCAAAGGUUAAAUUUAUUAAACAUUAAAACAAUAAAGUAUCUUAAAUAUAUAUUAUAUAUAUAUACAUAUUUUUAAUUUAUAUUAUUUACAUUUUCUAACCAAAAAAUAAUAAUUAUAUUCUACCAGCGAAAUUUAUUUAAAUGCGAAUCAGAGUAUUUUAUUAUCUAACGAAAACAGAUGAUAAAAAGAAUUAUAAAGAUGGAUGCAUUUUAAAAAUAUUACUUACUUAUAUAUACACACACAUUACUCAUACAUAAAAAUAAAAAUUGAUUAACUAAUUAAAUUUAGUAAGUAGAAUAAAUUUAUUAAAAAUAAUGGAAAUAUAAAUUCAUUUCUCAAUAUAUUAUUUAUAUUACUUUCAUAAAUAUUACUAAUGCCAAAAACUACGGUUUAUCUAACAUUUGUAUUAUAUACAGUAUACACUGUACAAGUAUAACAUAGAAUCUUUAAAAAAACUUUUGCACCCAAACCCAAUUAAACUCUUAAAUACCUAUUAUAUUUACUAACGUUAACAUUAUUCAAUUUGUAAUGAAAUUACUCGUUGUGCACGUAUGUAAAAUAAAAACAUUAUACACUAAAUACAUUUUGCCCGUCAGUAGGUUUUAAUCAAACCGGAUCUGCCCACUUGAAUAGUAUCAUUAUCGGUCUUGUUAUUAUAAUUAUUAUUAUGAUGUAUGAUUCAAUGAUUGUCUGGUUAAAAUUAAUUACCCAUGUACUAGAUAUACGUCCAAUAACUGUGUGUGUAUAACGAUAAACAGUAUCAGUCAAUUCUCACGAUAACUCAAUAACAAAUUACCAUUUAUGGAUAGAUAAAUAUAUGCAUUAUACAGUACCUAUACCUAUGUAUAAUUUAUAUGAUUAUAAUAUUUAACUCUUUGAGUAGGACGAAGAAUAUCAAAAGGUCUAUAUUUUUUCUUAUUUUUCUUCUUCUCUUGCUUAUUAUUAAUAUUAUGUGGGUACACCGUACAUUUAAAUUACAAAGAUUAGUCGAACGGGAUUCAUUGAAAUAAAAAAAAUGAUAAAUGCACCAUUAAAAUCAAAUGUGAACAGUUUUUGCAAUGAAUCAACAUGGUUUGUACUUAAUGUUCAGAAAUUUAAUCGUGUCUUGAUAAAUUCUAAGUACAAUACAUCAUAAUUUAAUUUAAUUAUUAUAGUAUGUUUCCAUACCUACGAUUAGGUAGUUUGCGUUUCUUAUAAUAGUUUCCAGUACAUCUAUAAGCUAUAUUAUAAUUAAUUUACUUUAAUAAUUGUUUUUAAUGUAAAACGACAUAAAAUUGUUGCAAGUGGAAAACUUAACGGCACGAGCAGAAUUUACUCUAUAAAAGUCAAAUCAUUGAGUAACAUUUUUAUGAAUAAAUCACAGAAAUACCUAAGAUACGCGUAUACUAUAGAUACAUAUAAAGCUAUUUUACCCACUAUAAUAUCAUAAAAAAGCGUAUAUAUUAUAAUAAACAUUAAAUAUAAAAGCGACGUGCAAAUACCAUUAUACGUGUUGCAUCAUUUACCGCAAUCGCUGGUAGAUUAAAAACACUUUGCAAUGCCCUUUGAGAAACUACCCGGCCGAACGAUGUUAGAUAAUAUAUAUGGUAGUAAUAAUCGUAUUCGUGCAGUGGCGUUGCAAUAUAUUUAAUAAUAAUGUGGAAAUCUCCGAAAACUCGCAUGCCCAUCACGAUACAGUUUUCGGUCGAUUGGCCAUCGGAGUUACUUCCGUUUCCUUUUUUCCGCCGCCACAUAAUACAUAAUAUAUAUAUAUAUAUAAUAUAACAUAUACGUAAUAGUAAUAAUAAUAAUAAUAUAAUUCUAAAUGCGGUCAUUUAUUCGAUCGGAGUAUAUAGGUCCAUCCCGAAAAACACCCUCGUAUGUAUGUGUGUAUGUGUACAGUAACUUGCACGCACAACAAAUGGACGCAUUUUAACUUCAUCUUUUAAUACACACGCGCAUUCACUUUAUCGUGGAAAAAAUGUACUAGACUUCUCGUGUAUAGUAUUACCACUAUAAUAUGGCCAGCGGCGGAGUGACAGGCUGCGUGGUUUGCAAUUCGGUUAAGUACAAUACCCUUCCUUAUCCUCCACAGCAGAUGUGGUCUACGAGGGAGGAAGUUCAUGAAUGUUUCAUUUUGUUCUCAUAUAGCCCUGUCUUUUGUCGGAGAGUUUUUCUGAAAUACAUUAUACAAUACAAUGAUAGAAUAUAACAUCGUCGACCGUAAAAACCGACUUUGCUAUGUAAUUUUCAAAAUAUAAAUUCAAACGUGACCUCAUUUUAAUUAUUUUAAAACGUUUUGAUUCUGUUGCGAUCGGUAUUUCGUGUGGAAAAAAAUAAUACGCAUAUCCAACAAUCUAUAAAGUCUUCUCUAAUAAUGAGUUUUUGAUUUUUUUAAAAAUUAGCAAAAAAUAAUUUAUCGAUUCAAAAAUCUCUUGGUAGUACGUGCGCUGUCAGUUUUUCACAUAACGUUCGUACACGCGUGGUUGCAAUACACCAUGCGUUACAGAGAACCAACAGACCGGCGCGACGAUAACAGAUCAUCAGUUUUGUGUUCUAUUUUAGACGAUGCGUACCUAAAAUACAAUAAAAAAUAUUUGUGUAUACUAUAUUGCCCAUACCGUCUGAACGCCACUCGGCGAUCAUCAAUAACCGAGAAAACGCUGAACGGCGCCGCGCUUUGUGUACGACGAAAAGCUUUCUUUUAUUCUGGUUAAUUUAUUUUAUUUUUUUAUUUAUAACAUUGACAAACUAGUUUCCGCGGGCACUGCCUUCCCCUUACCAUCACAAAACACAAUGUUAAAUAUAGUACUAAGUAUAGAGUUCCGCACAAACGUCUACCGACUGUGUUAUGUGUGUGCGUUUGUGCCACACAACUGUGCAGAUCUCUGUAUAGUAAAAGUAUACAGCAGAUACUAACACACACACAUUCAAAUAAACACAUUUUACGCUAUACAUAACGUUUAUACUCAUACACGUGCACGUAAUAUUAUAAUCGUGAACUUGACUGGUCACGACAAUGCAACGCCUCGAGGUCUCGAUGUGUAGCGUAUAAUAUCGUAACGGUAUACACUAUACAUAUAUAUAUUAUAUAGCUGCAGGUUGGUCGAUGCAGAAAAGCGCAUUAGCUCGCGCGCGAUCGCUAUUACCAUUAUUAUUAUUAUUAUUAUUAUUACAACUACUAUUAUACAGACUAUCAACCGUCGUGAUUGUGUGUUUGCUCACCCAGCCCUGGCGUUUAAUAAAUCGAUUUGCACGGCGUAUUAGCCGCGACGACGAUGCACGCCACAAUAAUAUUAUUACAUUGCAAGUCCGCCGUUAUAGUUGUAGACGAGGACGUCUGCCAAUAAAUCCGAUCGGUCUUAUCCUAUCUCCGUGGUAAAGUUUAACGGUAUAACGUUAAUAGUGCCCCGGUGUAGAGUAGUACAGGUAGAACGUCUGAAUAUAUUUUUUACACAAUAUUAAUAUAAUAAUAUUAUUUCGAUACGGUAACCGCAGAUAAUAUAAUACAACCUGCUAUCAUACGACUCCCUAAACGGCCUAAACGUUCGAUUUCGAAAUAACGUGCUUGUGCGAUGCCCUGCAAUAGUGGUACAGCUGUGGUUAUUUUAUAAUUUUAACGUGCACGAAGCGCUGAUGGGGAUGAAAUAUUUCCAGUGAUCUUUCGUUAUCAUAUACGAUUGCUUGUAAAAAAAAAAUUCCAUGGCCGCACAUUUUGACACUAUGCUUUUCAAUGUCAAGUACAUUAAUUUUUUUCAAGUGAUUGUAUUUACGCGGUUCAGUUUUUAACACUUGCGUAUUUAAAAUAAAUAAUAUUCUAUAUACAUGUAUCGCAUACAAUAGAUAUGUAUUCUACGAGUGCGGAUACAUGACAAUUGGACUUUUAAACUCAACGAAAUUCGAAUGAUAUAAAAAUGGCGAUACGCCGCCGCUUUCAAUUAGUAGAAAUAUAAUUAUCCACACUAAACGUAUUUCAAGUAACGUUAUUCUUCCGUUCGGCGGAAUCACGUUUGAACGGUUAAUCCGGUGCAGUGUGUACAGUAAUUGAUUUUCAGCAACGUUAACAAGUCCACCAGAGCGGUGGCGGUGACGUGACUUGGAAUCCUGCACGAAUUUCACUUAUAUAUACAUGGAUAGGUGUUGUGUAUGUAAGUAGUAGGUACCUAUAUAUAAAAUAUAUGUACGCGUAAAGCGGAAAAAGCAAUAAAUAGGAUUAAAUUUUCUAUUUCCCAAAGUCGUUCCCGUCUACCCUUUCACCCAGCGGGUCGCUGCUGUCGGCGAUGUAGUUAGUUAGCAUCGCGUACGGCCCUGUGAUUUAACGCCGUCGGAAACAUUGCAAAUCUAAUCACGUACCAGCUACACCUAUACUGCAACCAUCUCUAUCUCUCUCUCCCUCUACUGUCUACCCAGGGUAUCCGUCACGGGACCGGCGUCAAAAAUAAUCUGGCCCCGAGCGUGUGUUUCUUCAAUUACACGAAAUCGCACACCGCGAGUGAUUCGUCGGUUUUGGUACUGAAAAACAGCAUGGCGUAUAACUUAUAAUGUAUGUAUAUAAUAUAUUUUAUGGGCUCGGGGUAGGCAGACGGGCGCGAGGAAAAUACGUAAAAACACCAUCCCUUUUACGCACCGUCCGUAUUACUAUUAUUAUUAUUAUUAUAACGCCCGUGUGUGUACAUAACUCGAGUAAUUUCAAAAAGGAAAUGAAACCCCACUACUCCUCGCGCGUUUGACAGAGACGGCGGCGAUCGGGACGCACACAGACAUUGCUAGGGGAGUACGGUAAAUGUUUGGUGCCAUCGUGGAACGCCGCCGCUGUCCGGAAAGGGUGUAGCCUGCAAAAAUCGAACGGAGUUUUUUGGAUUAUUUUUCCCUCUCUCAGUCUCUCCCACAAAGCCUCAUCGGAACAAAACGCAAACAAUAAUACCGUGCAGUGCAUAAUAAUAUAGUCCUUUGCGUAUUUCGAUAUGCGAUUUGAUGCGGUAAUUGCACGCAACAAUUUUUUUGUAUUCGAUAUGUACACCAAUUUCAGUUAUCAAUUAUGAUAGAUAUAGCCACAGUAGUGUGCAUAAGCGCCUAAUACGGGUGUGUAACAAUAACAAUAAUCGUAUAACUGCAAUCGUUUAACGGCCAUAUUAAAUGAUCCGUACAAAACAUUACGCAAUGAAAUGGGCUUGGGUUCUAUAGCAUAGAAUUUGCAUAGAUAUUUGUUUUUAGUGCAUAAACCUAUAGAGUAAGCUGCACAAAUAUCCUACGUACUAUGUAUGAAAAGUUUUAACAUCGUAUUCUGUGGUUUUUGUAUUAAAUUCACACCAACAACUAUUACACUCUUUUUGUUUGCCGAUGCACCUAAACGAAACAUAAUUCAGACCCAAUGAUUGCGUUGUGCAGAACGCACAACUCGGACAUAAUUAGAACUAUUUUCUUGUAAUCCAAUACAAAUAAACUGCUACAGCUUGCAAGUCAAUAAACAUGACAUCUCUAUCCGACAAUAUUUCAAUGCAUUUCUUCGUGCAUUGGGAACUAUAGCAUAUUAUAUUUUACGAGUGUUUCAUUAAUAUUUUUUUUAAUAUAAUUUUUUUUUCUUUAACCCAUUAUUGAUAAUAUAAUAUACGUUUAAUAAUAUUAUUAUUGUCAUUUGGUCAAAAAUCGGUAAAUUUCUCGUCAAUAGAAAACGCGAAGCGAUCAAACGAUAUAAUUAUAAUCAUUUCAAUAUUUUAUUGUAAAGGUAUAGGUUUAAACUCAGAAAAAUAUGCGCACUCGUCGGCUGUAGAAGUUUCCACAAGCUGUCGGUGACAGACAUUGUAGAUUUUGUUAUUGUUAUUUUCUAUCACCGAUACGAACCCUCGUUUAAUUCACCCUGGAUAUUGCGUGUUAGCCGAGGGUUCGGUGGAAAGUAUGUCUGUGACGACUGAUGAGUAACAUCACUCCAUGACGUCUAUAUAUUACCCGAAAUAUUAUCGAGACGUGAUGCAAUUAAACUCGUUUCUGUACAUUUUAUCCUGGUUGAAUUACUCACAUAGUUAUUACCCUAGAUUAUAUCAUAAUAUAUAUUAUUAAAAUUAUUUUUAUUUUUAUUAAUAUUAUUAUUAUUAUUAUUAUUAGAAUGAUAAGUUGAUUAGUUUCCGUUGUGUACGAUAUAACCAAAUGUGUUUUACCAUUUUUGUUAAUAUUUUUUAUUGAAUAUU
Molecule: long non-coding RNA, 11502 nt
Organism: Aphis gossypii (cotton aphid)
Lineage: Eukaryota; Metazoa; Arthropoda; Insecta; Hemiptera; Aphididae
Exons: 10
Source: RefSeq, a predicted model, not a curated record